GCGGCCUCAGAUCUAUCAUACCGAACACCAUGAACCCUAAAGUAGUACUCGUCAUUUUGAUAUACAUGCAGAUGUUGACGAUUUUGACGUCUGAGAAGAUAGACACGAGUGGGCAGUGUCCGGUGGGUUUUUAUGGUCAGGACUGUACAUGCAGCUCCGAAGACCUUGCUAAUGUUACCAAAUACGAACUUAAGUGCAGCAAUGGCACUUGGGAAUUUCAUACCGAUGUUCAAUUUGAUUCGACACCUCUGAACAUCAUGUAUGAUACGCUGUCUGUUGAUGGCGAGCUCAGGUUUAGUCAGGCGA
Long non-coding RNA from Schistocerca gregaria, 306 nucleotides. RefSeq lists it as uncharacterized. The record is from RefSeq and is a predicted model, not a curated record. The transcript is spliced from 3 exons. Lineage: Eukaryota; Metazoa; Arthropoda; Insecta; Orthoptera; Acrididae.